CGUAGGUAACCUGCCUGGUAGCGGGGGAGUAACUAUUGGAAACGAUAGCUAAUACCGCAUAAAAUUGAUUACUGCAUGAUAGUCAAUUAAAAGGUGCAAUUGCAUCACUACCAGAUGGACCUGCGUUGUAUUAGCUAGUUGGUGAGGUAAAGGCUCACCAAGGCAACGAUACAUAGCCGACCUGAGAGGGUGAUCGGCCACACUGGGACUGAGACACGGCCCAG
RNAcentral lists this ribosomal RNA (224 nucleotides) under uncultured bacterium. Its description in RNAcentral is "partial 16S ribosomal RNA". It matches the Rfam family "Bacterial small subunit ribosomal RNA", at positions 116 to 334 of the family's 1533-position model. The record is from RNAcentral.